This 399-nucleotide ribosomal RNA is filed under the name uncultured Comamonadaceae bacterium. RNAcentral's name for it is "partial 16S ribosomal RNA". It matches the Rfam family "Bacterial small subunit ribosomal RNA", at positions 338 to 729 of the family's 1533-position model. Lineage: Bacteria; Pseudomonadati; Pseudomonadota; Betaproteobacteria; Burkholderiales; Comamonadaceae. The record is from RNAcentral.
CCUACGGGAGGCAGCAGUGGGGAAUUUUGGACAAUGGGCGCAAGCCUGAUCCAGCCAUGCCGCGUGCGGGAAGAAGGCCUUCGGGUUGUAAACCGCUUUUGUCAGGGAAGAAAAGGUUCUGGCUAAUACCUGGGACUCAUGACGGUACCUGAAGAAUAAGCACCGGCUAACUACGUGCCAGCAGCCGCGGUAAUACGUAGGGUGCAAGCGUUAAUCGGAAUUACUGGGCGUAAAGCGUGCGCAGGCGGUUAUGCAAGACAGAGGUGAAAUCCCGGGGCUCAACCUGGGAACUGCCUUUGUGACUGCAUGGCUAGAGUACGGUAGAGGGGGAUGGAAUUCCGCGUGUAGCAGUGAAAUGCGUAGAUAUGCGGAGGAACACCGAUGGCGAAGGCAAUCCCC